UGCGUAGGCGGCCUAGCAAGUUGGGUGUGAAAGCCCUCGGCUCAACCGAGGAAUUGCGCCCAAAACUGCUAGACUUGAGGAAGAUAGAGGUGAGCGGAACUGAUGGUGGAGCGGUGAAAUGCGUUGAUAUCAUUAGGAACACCGGUGGCGAAAGCGGCUCACUGGGUCUUUUCUGACGCUGAGGUACGAAAGCUAGGGGAGCGAACAGGAUUAGAUACCCUGGUAGUCC
RNAcentral lists this ribosomal RNA (229 nucleotides) under uncultured bacterium. RNAcentral describes it as "partial 16S ribosomal RNA". It matches the Rfam family "Bacterial small subunit ribosomal RNA", at positions 568 to 796 of the family's 1533-position model. The record is from RNAcentral.